Molecule: non-coding RNA, 117 nt
Organism: Atta cephalotes
Lineage: Eukaryota; Metazoa; Arthropoda; Insecta; Hymenoptera; Formicidae
Source: Rfam
AUGUACAUUAUCAUGUUAAACGUACAAGUUUUCGUCCGAUCAUUUAAGUUAAAUAAUAUUUAACACAGUUUAAUAUUUAAAUGGGUGAUCUUUUGGAAACAUCAUGUACUGUUAAUA